RNAcentral lists this ribosomal RNA (303 nucleotides) under uncultured bacterium. RNAcentral's name for it is "partial 16S ribosomal RNA". It matches the Rfam family "Bacterial small subunit ribosomal RNA", at positions 507 to 809 of the family's 1533-position model. The record is from RNAcentral.
AGCAGUCGCCGCGGGAAUACGAGGGGGGCUAGCGUUGUUCGGAUUAACUGGGCGUAAAGGGCGCGUAGGCGGGUUUUUAAGUCAGAGGUGAAAUCCCAAGGCUCAACCUUGGAACUGCCUUUGAUACUGGAAGUCUUGAGUCCGGGAGAGGUGAGUGGAACUGCGAGUGUAGAGGUGAAAUUCGUAGAUAUUCGCAAGAACACCAGUGGCGAAGGCGGCUCACUGGCCCGGUACUGACGCUGAGGCGCGAAAGCGUGGGGAGCAAACAGGAUUAGAUACCCGUGUAGCCCUGUCUCUUAUACA